RNAcentral lists this long non-coding RNA (9725 nucleotides) under Homo sapiens (human). Its description in RNAcentral is "HSALNT0383072". The record is from RNAcentral. Lineage: Eukaryota; Metazoa; Chordata; Mammalia; Primates; Hominidae.
CUCCCAAAGUGCUGGGAUUACAGGCGUGACAAGGAUCUUUAUGACAUUGUACACAUGGAUCAAAAUAUCACAGGUGCUCCAAAAUAUGUACGACUAUGAUAAAUGACUUUAAAAAGAAUCGAAUAAUAAUAAUAAAGAUAUCCUUAACAAAAAAGUGGCUUCUAACCUACCAGUUUGCAAUCUUAGCAAUGAACACUGUGCAGUUAUGAAAUUAUUGUCCCUCAGCUCCAAAGCCACCCUCCUAGACCUUACUUGGUCCACAAAUCCCGGUCAGUUUUGCCAGCCACUCUCUGCUAGGCUCUGCCAAUAGAGGGCGCUAGAGGGAGGCUUCAGGGCUGGGGAAAGAAGAAAGCACCUGUCCUUUCUGUUCCCUGUAGGUUUCAGCCUGACUGCAGCAAUUCCUUUCUAGAUAGCAGCUGCAUCCAAUUAGCAGAGGCCACAUUGCACUUCAUUCUCCUCUCCAACACCAGCAACUGCCAGCCAGGGCCUCUCUUAAGAGAGCUGAGUUGCAGCUUUAUGGAACCCCUUUUCAAGAUUCUAAGUUAUAAUCAUUCCAAUCUCUUUCCUUUAUUCUCCAAGCCCUAGGGGAGGUAGCUUCUCCCUGCAUUUGCUACCUCAGUGAAACUUUUCAAAAGCGUUUCACCCAUCCUGUUAAUAAUUUUUACAUUAAAAUCUCUCUUUUCAAGUAACUGGUAUGAUUUGUCUCCUGACUAUCCCAUGACUGAUCUAGACACCUAGACAAAUUGAAAAACUUUACAAGUUAGAUGUUGAAUCCAACCCCUUAGUUUUACCAGACGAGGAGGCUGAGCCCCAGAAAGGGUCAAUAACUUGCCCAGAACCUCAAUGCUGGCCGAGGACCUGCUGGCACUGCAUUUCUGGUCUCCUGGCUCCAGGCCUUGUGCUUUCACUACUAAACCUCACUGUCCAAGGUCAUGGAGGUACCAGAGAGAAUAAGAAGAGCUUCUCAAAUGCUGUCUUUGAAGUCUAGGAAAAGGAAGAAUGAAGGAAAAAUGAGCCUAUCACCAGGGAAGGGAAAUACAAAAUUAACAAUGUCUCUGGAAUGGCUAUGUUAUUAGACUCAUUUAAAAUCUGUCUUUAGCAAAAGAAAUUUAAAAAAUACAUUUGGAAAAUUAGAGUGCAGUGGAGUUAUCAAAAAUUACCUUAGUGUGAAGCAGAUAAGGAACUAGUUAGAAAGCCAGAAAUUCAAUCUUCCCUCAAUUUCACUCAACAAGCUCGGUGGCAUAUUAGGGAAAUGAUCCCUUAAUAUACUGAGAUUUUUGAGGAAAUUGAAAACCAGGAUUGCUACUUGCAGAGCAAAGGAGGAAGAGGAGAAGAAGGAGGAGGAGGAGGAGGAGGAGGAGGAGGAGGAGGUUGAAAGGAGGAGCGAUGUGGUGGAGUGGAAAAGACUUUUAAUUGGUGGUAACACAACAAAGGAAAUAGAAUACCCCUCCUUGGAAGAGGGAGGAGCCUGCAGUGACAGGCACCAUGCAAGAAAGAGCCCAGUUCUGAGACUGAGACAUCUGGGCCAUGGUCCUGGCUCCAUGACUACCACAGCAUGCCUGUGGGCAGCCCAUUCAGCCUCUCUGACCACUAUUACAUCUUUGUAAAAUUCGGUGCCCAUCUUUGCAGAGUUGUUAGGAUUAUAUAGGGGAGUGGAUUUAAAGUAUCUAGCAAAAUGCCUGGCACCAAAGUAAAUGCACAUUUAAUAAAAGCUGCUAUUGAUGUUAUUAGCAGUACAGCUUAAAAUUGUCUAGGACCUUGGAAAGCCACAGGAUUAGAAAAAUAAAAAUAAGAUGGUGAUAUUUUAAAAACAAGCCAAUCAUAUACUAAAGGAAUAUGAGGAAAAAGGAUAGAGAAUAGCAUAGGAAACUUAUUUUUAGUAGUAUGCCCUUUAAAUAGACCUCCCUCUCUCCUUACCUGGAGAAGAAGCCAGCUUCCAAUAAAAAGCUUUUUUUGAAAAAUAUUUUCGAAGUUUCCUCUAACAAGACUUUGAAGGGGGGAUUUUUUUUUUUUUUUUUUGCUAACUCAUAUUUCUUCAGUUCCCACAUUAAAUGUCAUCUCCUUAGAAAGGCAUCCCUGAUGUUCCAAACUAAGGCUCCACCAACUUUUUCUAUAAAGGGACAGAGCAUAGAUAUUUUACUUGUAAAAUGUACUUUGCCAAUCUUCUAUGGUCUCUGUCACAUCAUAUUAUUAUUCCUAAAUUUACAACCCUUUAAAAAUGUUAAAAAAAAAAUUGGUCAUAGGUUUGUAGACCACAGUUUGUUGGUUCCUGUUCCAAAUUUCAGUCGUCCCUGAUAGUCUUUUGGCAGCAUACUAUUGCUUUUCCUUUGUAUCACAUGUCUCUAUUUGAUGUUAUAUAUUUAUUUGUUUGAUAUUUGCCAAACUCCUGUGACUGUAAACUCCUGGACGAAGGGACCAUGUUGAUUUUGCUUGAGGAGAGUUCGACACUGUGUCUCUAGCACAGAGAUGUACACAUAGUAGGUACUCCAUUAAUAUUUGUUCAAUAAAUAAAACAAUCUAAAAGUAAUUCCUAUUCACUGUAAGAAAAUCUGAGGAAUACCCCCCAAAAUGUAUAAAAGGUAAAGCAAUAAUCUAUUCAUCAUACCACCACUCAGAGACAGCUGUUGUCAGCAGGCUUUAUUUUUGUAUUUGUAUUGGUACGUGUAUAACUACAUACUGUAUUUACACGAUAGAAAUCUUUCUGUCUCGAAAGCUUCAUAGUCUAGCUUUUCACUUAAUAAACAACUCAGCAAAGAAUAUUUUAUGCAUAUGUCUUUGUUGGUGUUUCUAGUUAUUUGCUCAGAAUAGAUUCCAAGAAAUCGAAUCAUGAGAUCGAAGGAGAUCAACAAGUUUGUGGCUCUUGAGACACAAUGCCAAAUAUCCUUCUAGAGAGCUGGCAGAUAUCAGAAACCUCUUCUCAGCUUUAGAGAUGCUUUUCACACAGACAGAAGAUUUCCUCUCCACACCAGAGGCAGCAGGAUAAGAUGUACCAUCAGACCGCACUGGCUUACCGUGGUGACAAGAAAGAAGAGGCCCUGACUGGGAGAUGGAUAACCAAGAUGAAACCAUGAGACAACAUUCUGGGCCAAGCAGUGAGCAAUGAGGAGACCCAGACCCCAGGUUCCUGGCUGUGUCUUUGGUGAGUAGAGACAUAUCCACAGCCACAGUGGAAGCAGCUGCAAUAGAAAGGAUUUAAGACAACAGUGAGGUUUCUGACUGGGGCUCACCUUAGCCUUGGGGCAGAGGGGUAUCUGUCACUUUCCUUAAUCUUCUCUCAGGCUAAAAAGAAGAGGCAUUAAGACAGAUUCCCUGAGGAUACUUCAAGAACCCUGAAAUUGCCUUGCUCACAUACCACCACACUAGAGAUGUUUCAGAAAAGCAGCUUCCCUUUUGGUGCCUCCAAUCCAGAAUGACUCCAGGACCCACCGAGAGGUGAGGCAGAGAGGACAAGGCAAGGACAAAACUUCUUUGGACUAUUUUCUGCACAUCCCCAGCAGAGAUUGAUGAAUGCCUCUGAGUCAGCAAAAUCUCCAGUGGUGAAACAGAAAGCGUACACUCCACACAUUCAAGCAGCCAGGCCAGCCCACACGGAGAAGAGGAUGUUCACAUCCAGCCUGUUCAGUGGACCCCAUGGGGCAUUUCAAAGGCUAUUACAUUUCCAGGACCUUCUAUCACACCCCCUUUCUUCCAUCCCUGCUAAUAUUUGUGACUUUCCAGCUUUCUUCUCUGAAAUUAAAAUCAAACCUUUGCAAAGUGAAAAUCAGUUCAUCUGAGCUAGUGCUGGUUAAGAUUUACAAAAUAAAGAGGAAUUUUACACCCACUGGCCUCAAAGAGUCAUUUUAGCUGGCAGUCAUGAGCUCCACCGAGGACCCGAGUGUUCUCUGUCUGACCGGGUUGCUGGCGGAAGGGAUGCGGGAAAUUCUUUGUGCUCUGUUGCUCUGCUCCAUACUUAGUGACGGAUCAUCUCUUGGGCCCCUGACACAAAGGAUGGCAAUGUCACCACUCAGCUCUCUGGCAGCCUAUUCUAGGCUGACAGUCUAGCCUCAGGGAUCACUGCAGACCCCUGCAGUUUCCCCUUCCAGUGAAAUCAGCUGGGUGCUGAUUUUACACCCACUGGCUGAGACACAAACAACAUCCCUCUCUCGCCUACAGAGAUGGGCUGGCACUGACUCCAGCACCCUGAGAGGCCAAUGCCAACUUCACACUUGCAUCUUAUUGGAGUCAUGCAUUUUGCAUAGAAGUUGUUUAAGGUUAUAUGUGUAAUGCGCACCUGGAAAAGUCUUCCAGGGGUGGGACAGCAAGAUAAAGGAGAAGCAACAGACUUUGAAGUCAGAUAUAACUGGAUUUUUGAAAUCCUAGAUCUGUCACUGACUAGUUUUUCCAAGUUACUUUACCCUCUUAGAGCCUAUGUUUUCUCAUCUGUUAAACAGUGAAAAUCAUGUUUGUCUUUCAGGUCAUUAUAAAGGUUAGAAAUGGUAUAAUGUAAGAUACCUAGUACAAAAUGGAUGCAAAGAAAGAGCUUAUCAGAUUAUAACUCUUGGUAGUGGUGAUAGUAGUAUAAUUAUUAUAAUUUGAUUUUAAAUUAGAAAAAAAGGAACAGGUUAUAUAAGACAGUGGGAAACAACUGAUUUAUUCGUAUCAGUUUCUUUUGCUUUCUAUGAAGAAGUCUGUAUGGGAGAAAAUAAACCUUUCAACUUCAUUCAUAUAAAGGAACCCACAGUAACAAUGAGUGGCAACACAGGACAGGAAAAUCACAUUAGGAACUGGGGUCCAGCACUCAUGCCUUAAGGUCUCUGAGCAACACUCCCCUCAUUGCAUAAAUACAGACUAUCACUCUACUCAUCUCACAGAGUCAUUUAAAGACCAAAUAAGAGCGAUUAGGAAAACCAUUGAAAAUCUGUAAAGCACUGUACAAGAUUUUUUAAUGCAGUUCCAUUUUUUCAUGCUACCGAAGAUAUGUGCAAAUAUUCCAAACAUCAUCGCAAAUACAGGAAGGAAGCCAUGUGGGGAUCGUUCCUACUUUUUAAUACAGCUCGAUAAGCAAAAACCCUGCCAUCUCAGCAGCUCCUACUGAUACACAGUCUUUGUCUUAAGCAAAAACCCUGACAUCUCAGCAGCUCCUACUGAUACACAGUCUUUGUAUAAACUACGUGGUUCUCUACUCUGGCUGUACAAUAGUGUCACUAUGGAGCUAUUAAAAAAUGUAUAUGCCCAUGACUCAUCCAUAGACAUUCUGGCUUAGUUAUUCCAGAGCACAGCCUGUGCUUUUUAUCAGCAGCUCCUCAGGUGAUUCUAUUGGGCAGUUAGGAUUAAGGACAUUCAUCUAGUGCAGUGGUUGUCAACUGGAAGUGAUUUUUCCCCCCAGGGGACAUUUAGCAAUACCUGGAGACGUUUCUGGUUGUCACAACUGGGAGCAGGGUGCUACAGGCAUCUAGUGAGUGGAGGCUAGGGAUGCUGCUAGGCAUCCUACAAUGGAAAGGACGGCCCCUCAGAACAUGGAAUUGUCCAGCCCAACAUGUCAAUAGUGCAUGACUUUGAGAGGGGCCACACAGAGGACUCAUUCUAAAGAAAGUCAGGAACUGCCCAUACUGCACAAACAUAGCUCAGCAAUAUUUCUGGUUUCACAUGCUCUCCAGAACCUUGUCAUUUCCUCCAUUAGAAGAUGGAGUCUAUUUCUUCUUUUUGAAAUUGAACUGGUCUUUAUUACUAUCUCAACAAAUAGAAUUCAAGGAAAUAACAUGCCUGACUUCUGAGGCAAAGUCACAAAAGGCUUCUGCUUGUCUUUCUCUCUCAAGAUCUCUUUCCAAGCCAACAGGUUAAAAAAAAAAAUCCAGCUACCCUGGAGCUGCCAUGUUGGAAAGAUCACAUUUAAAGAUCGUAUGGAGAUAGAGAGAGAUGCUCAAAAGAAGCCCCAGCCAUCUGCGUCUUCCAGUUUGGGUACCAGAUAUUUGUGUGGGUGAGCCCUCCGAUGAUUCCAGCCCCCACCUUCCAGCUGCCCCAGGUAAUGUCAAGUGGAAUAGGGGCCAGGUGUCUGCCCAGACUGCAGAUUUAUAAGCAAAGUAAAUGGCAUGGAGGUUUUGGUUCUACGGGGAGUAUAUGUUUGCUUGCUUGUUUGAUAUGUAAUAAUAGAUAACCAGAAUAAAGUCCUUUAUGAUUCUAUAAAAGAUCCAUCUCUAAACCCUCUUCAUUGGGCCACCAAGGUCAAAAGCUUACAUAUACUUGUACAGGGAAUGAGUUUUAUAUAUUUCCAGCCCACUCCCAACUCUGCAACUUCCACCUCCAUUCUCAGUAAAUAUGCCAGUUUACUUAAGAAUUCCUCCCAUUCAUUUCUGUUGUGCUUUCUGUGGUCUGGAAGAUCAUAUUUUCCAACAUGUGGGUCAAGGGUCUUAUGGGUCUUUUUUGUUCUUGGUGAAGUUUUCCAUUGUGGAAGCAAAUAUAAGCAUAAAUAUAGGUGAAUCAAUACAAAUAAAUAAAUAACAUAUGUUUAUUCUGAUAAUUAGCAAAUUGGUAGUUACUAAACAUCUUUCAUUUACCAGGUCUUCCAGAAGGGUGCACUUAACUGUGGAGGAAAAACAACUCAUUAAAGUCUUUGAAGGUGACAUUGCCAAGGGAGAUAUUCUGCAGGCAAAGUGGACAGAAUGUCCUGAGACAUCCUUGCUUUAAUCAAUGUUGAAACAACUGAGAAGCUAAAACAUCAGGUUUUGCAGUUGGAUCAGGGGAGCAGGAUGAGUACUGACUAAGCACCUACUGUGUGCAGAUCCUGAGCAAAGUAGUUACGGCAGUUAGCAGGGGUAAUUGCAUUUAAUUUUCCCAACAUCCUUGGGAGCUAAGAACCAUCCUCUACUGCCCGGUCUUCUCUCUCUCCCCCUCUCUAUCUCUGCAUCUCCCUCUCUUUCCAGACAUUCCUGUUUAUUCCCAGUAAAACUAAAAUCUACACAAGCUCCACAUAUCUUUGAUUAAAUCUUGAUCAAAAUCCAAUAACUCAGAAACUGUAAGUUUCAACAAGGAGUUAAUAAUUUAAAGUUGUUGACACAAGUGCUUUUGAGACUGGUAGUAGGCUCUCUCCUCUGAUGUUGGAAUAAGCUGAAAGGCACAAAAAAUAGCAGUAGACAAGUGGGGAAAGUGUCACAUUCAAAGCUAAAUCCAUACUGAAUCUGUAUCUCACAUGAUAAAAUGAGUGUUUUGUGUGCAAGAACUUCUCCUCGAGAGAUUUUUUUUUUAACCCCCGGUGGUUUAAUUGUGAAAUUGCUCUUAAUCUUGAGAGUACGGAGCUUGCUUUUUGGUUGGCUGGCUAGGUGGUUGGUUGGUUGACUGUAGAAAACUUAUUUCUAUUCAUUGUGUGUUAGUUACAGAAAAGUGAAUUUACUCAUAAGCUUUGUAAUAGUCAACCCUCUGACUAUGAAUUCACCGACUGUAUUAUAAUAAACGCAGCCCACUGUGUAAAGAUGUAAAUCUCUUGAUGUUAAGAAGGGUUUUCUUCCUUGCAUAAACUGUACAAGAAAAUAAUGGUGCUUAUAGCAGAAAUGUCUUUAAGGCCUACAUAAAAACCUCAAUUUUUCAAAACACUCAAAUGGCUUCUACUAUUACCUCUAAAGACUAGUUUAGGAAUUGCAUAUUUCUUUCUCCAAUAACAUUCUAUGGGUUCUCCCACCUCCAGUCUCUCUCCUCAAUGAUCCUUUCUUCACCAAUGUGGUGAUUCUGCUAGUUGCUCAGGAUGUCUCUUCUAAUUAUGCAUUCCUGAACUGGGGGGAAAACCACAGAACAAGCUUGAGGACCCGCUGUGAGAUGGACCUGAGCUAAAACUCCAUUGAUCACCUAACCACCAUAAGCUCCUACUCUGACUGAUGGGCCACAGUGACGUUUUCAGUCUCUUGGAAUUAGUGUCAGUUCAGAGCAAGUAUCUUCAAAAGGUCUGACUAUUUUCCUUUCCCCAAUGCACAGUCACCUAGUAAAAGCCCACAGGUCUCUUUGGGGAACACUGAGAGAAAGAUUAAUGGUAUAAAUUUUUGGCAGUGUACUGGGGUCCCUCCUCAAGGAGAUUCAGCCUCCCUUUCAUUCAAGGGUUUCUGGGUCUGUAAACUGGCUCAAGUCUGGGAAUUGACCAAGAAGCCAUGAUGCUCUGUUUCUAUAUUUCAUGAGACUUCUGUUCACUUGACCUAGAAGUUUACUCUUAUACAGAUCAAGUAAGAGUUUAGUAGACCUCCUAUUUAUUUCAUUUCUAAAAAUGCCACAAUGAACUAGCCAGUACCACAGGUCUACAUAGGUCAGACUGUUCUGAUUUCUGCUUUGCCUCUGCUGUCCACUACAAUAACCACACUCCCCUUGCCUUUGGUGACUGAGUGCCACCACUUGGCCCUUGCACCCUGGGAUCCAAUUAUUCCCACUGCAUUUAGGUAUUGCAACUCCAUGACUACAGUCCACACUGUAAGGUCUGUUCCAGAGAGCACAGUAAUCACAGAUCUCUUUAAGAACACUGAGGAUCCCCUCAAAAAACUCACAUAGUCAUGGUAAAAGAUGUGUCCUCUGAACCCUCCAAGUGAGGGUGAGUAAGUCUGAAAUGAAAAAUCCGCUCUAACAUGCAAAUAUUCCUAGGCCUUUCAAUCUCUUCCUCUACCAUAAACCAACAUAGGUCUGGCAUUUCGACUUCAUUUACUAUGGGCCACAUUUUGGUCUACAUUUCAGCCAACCAAUGAAACAAAUAGUAGAGUUUUUUCCAGCCCUACAAGCUGCAACAUUAAAUGCAGAAUUUCUGCUUAGUGGGCCCAAAUCAAUAAAUGUAGCCUGACCCAACUUUAUGUUUCUUCCACCAGUAUCCCACACCCUUAAUAUCCAUUCCUACAUAUACUUUCCAGAAAAAUCAAGUCAUUCUUUUGGAGUGUAACCACCUCUUCAUGGUCCACACGUUGUGCCUCACCUUUAGAGGCCUGAUGGGACUUGACUCUAGUUACAGGUCUAGAAGCAAAGAGGGGUGGAGGGGUUGGGUCCUGAUGAGAAUCAGCAAGUCUUGCAAGGCAACUGCCUCAGGAGAGGCAAUUACAGACUCCUCAGUCAAUGCAAAGUUCAUCUCCUCUGAAUGGGGGCAGAGAGGAUGCUUAUAAUGGCAAAGAAGACUCAUCAGAAUGUAGGGGCUCAGUGUUCCCAAUUUCAUCAGUCUUCCCACACAUCCCCAUGCUAACUUUCAGGAUCUCAUUCCUUCCCAAUCAAUGUUCUCACUUUAACAGAAGACACCCUGCAAGGCUGGGAAUUCAAUUUUCACUAUAAUUCAGCCACUCACAGAAUGAGAUUCUGGGUUUGGUUUUCAGCAAUCUCAGGAGAUAAGGAUCUCUUUCAAGGGAAACACAGAAGCUUUCAAAUCCUUUAUGCAGCAUUUGAACUGGGAAUUUGAAUCCUUGGGCUCAUUCAUUUCUUUCCCCCACUUUGUCCAGUAACAUUAGUGCUAACAGCCAAAGUCUUUAUACUCAUUAGUUUCACAAAAAUGUUUGAAGGUAUCAUGUACUCGGUCACCCAGAUUCUUGCCUAUUAUAAGUAUUUGAUUAGAUGUAUCUAGUGAUAUUUUAUGUAUCUUCAUUGCCACGUCACAACAUGGACUAUCAGUGCUCUCUUUACUCCUAGAAAUAGAGUCAAAAGGGUCUUUAACGUCGAAUCAACAUAAGUGCCCAUCAACGGGGGAUUGGAUAAAGAAAAGGUGGUGCAUAUACACCAUGGAAUACUACACAGCCAUAAAC